ACCAGGGGGUGGCGCUAAAGAGCCACGCAGCGUCUGAAGGUGGCCAGCUCCAGUUUGAACAGGGAGAAAUAAUUCUGGUGUUUGCCGACACGCAGCAGGAAGGUCUGUUGAAAGGAGUUCGGGAGGAGAGCUGGCAACUCUACAGAGA
Molecule: long non-coding RNA, 148 nt
Organism: Hippocampus comes (tiger tail seahorse)
Lineage: Eukaryota; Metazoa; Chordata; Actinopteri; Syngnathiformes; Syngnathidae
Exons: 2
Source: RefSeq, a predicted model, not a curated record